AGAGUUUGAUCCUGGCUCAGAUUGAACGCUGGCGGCAGGCCUAACACAUGCAAGUCGAACGGUAGCACAGAGAGCUUGCUCUUGGGUGACGAGUGGCGGACGGGUGAGUAAUGUCUGGGAAACUGCCCGAUGGAGGGGGAUAACUACUGGAAACGGUAGCUAAUACCGCAUAACGUCUUCGGACCAAAGUGGGGGACCUUCGGGCCUCACACCAUCGGAUGUGCCCAGAUGGGAUUAGCUAGUAGGUGGGGUAAUGGCUCACCUAGGCGACGAUCCCUAGCUGGUCUGAGAGGAUGACCAGCCACACUGGAACUGAGACACGGUCCAGACUCCUACGGGAGGCAGCAGUGGGGAAUAUUGCACAAUGGGCGCAAGCCUGAUGCAGCCAUGCCGCGUGUAUGAAGAAGGCCUUCGGGUUGUAAAGUACUUUCAGCGGGGAGGAAGGCGGUGGAGUUAAUAGCUUCAUCGAUUGACGUACCCGCAGAAGAGC
Molecule: ribosomal RNA, 490 nt
Filed under: uncultured Gammaproteobacteria bacterium
Lineage: Bacteria; Pseudomonadati; Pseudomonadota; Gammaproteobacteria
Description: bacterial SSU rRNA
Rfam family: Bacterial small subunit ribosomal RNA
Source: RNAcentral